Long non-coding RNA from Portunus trituberculatus (swimming crab), 473 nucleotides. RefSeq lists it as uncharacterized. Lineage: Eukaryota; Metazoa; Arthropoda; Malacostraca; Decapoda; Portunidae. The transcript has 2 exons. The record is from RefSeq and is a predicted model, not a curated record.
ACAGAGAGUGAGAGAGCGAGAGAGAGGGAGACAGAAGCCAAGAGCGCCGAGAAGGCUAGAGACGACAGCAAGACAGAGCUGUCAAAAUGGGCGCACCGCGCCUAUCUCAAGACCAGGAACCACAGCAGGAGGAUGGACGACACAUUUUCCUAUUGAUCUACCGGCGGAAAGAUAAUCAUCUGUCCACCUGUGUACAAGUAGAAGCGAGGAGCAGAAUCGGGAAGCGGGAACGACAGUAAGGCUUCUCUGCUGCAGGGAGGAUAAGAAAGGAGCAGUGACGAGCGUGUAGGUGUGUUGAUUUUCCGAGAGAGAGGGAGGGAGAGGAUGAUGGAGGAAGGAACGUGAAGGAAAAGGGAAGGAAUAUACGUUGUGUUGCGUCGUGUCGUGUUGUGUUGAAAGUACAAGAAGGGGAGGAGGAUGAAAGGAAAAAGAGGAAAUUCUAAAUAAAGAAAGAAAAGAACGAAGCCAGGAGG